This 805-nucleotide ribosomal RNA is filed under the name Nocardia sp. S20-46. Its description in RNAcentral is "bacterial SSU rRNA". It matches the Rfam family "Bacterial small subunit ribosomal RNA", at positions 66 to 886 of the family's 1533-position model. Lineage: Bacteria; Bacillati; Actinomycetota; Actinomycetes; Mycobacteriales; Nocardiaceae. The record is from RNAcentral.
GCGGUAAGGCCCUUCGGGGUACACGAGCGGCGAACGGGUGAGUAACACGUGGGUGAUCUGCCUCGCACUCUGGGAUAAGCCUGGGAAACUGGGUCUAAUACCGGAUAUGACCACGGAUCGCAUGGUUUGUGGUGGAAAGAUUUAUCGGUGCGAGAUGGGCCCGCGGCCUAUCAGCUUGUUGGUGGGGUAAUGGCCUACCAAGGCGACGACGGGUAGCCGACCUGAGAGGGUGACCGGCCACACUGGGACUGAGACACGGCCCAGACUCCUACGGGAGGCAGCAGUGGGGAAUAUUGCACAAUGGGCGAAAGCCUGAUGCAGCGACGCCGCGUGAGGGAUGACGGCCUUCGGGUUGUAAACCUCUUUCGACAGGGACGAAGCGCGAGUGACGGUACCUGUAGAAGAAGCACCGGCCAACUACGUGCCAGCAGCCGCGGUAAUACGUAGGGUGCGAGCGUUGUCCGGAAUUACUGGGCGUAAAGAGCUUGUAGGCGGUUCGUCGCGUCGAUUGUGAAAACUUGCAGCUCAACUGCAAGCUUGCAGUCGAUACGGGCGGACUAGAGUACUUCAGGGGAGACUGGAAUUCCUGGUGUAGCGGUGAAAUGCGCAGAUAUCAGGAGGAACACCGGUGGCGAAGGCGGGUCUCUGGGAAGUAACUGACGCUGAGAAGCGAAAGCGUGGGUAGCGAACAGGAUUAGAUACCCUGGUAGUCCACGCCGUAAACGGUGGGUACUAGGUGUGGGUUUCCUUCCACGGGAUCCGUGCCGUAGCUAACGCAUUAAGUACCCCGCCUGGGGAGUACGGC